Molecule: ribosomal RNA, 388 nt
Filed under: uncultured bacterium
Lineage: Bacteria
Description: bacterial SSU rRNA
Rfam family: Bacterial small subunit ribosomal RNA
Source: RNAcentral
AAAUUGCCAUGGAUACUGGGUUUCUUGAGUACAGAAGAGGUCGGUGGAAUCGUAUGUACGGUGAAAUGCAUAAUAUUACAAGAACAUCAGUGGCGGAGCGGCGGCUGGACUGUAACUGACACUGAGGCACGAAAGCGUGGGGAGCGAACAGGAUUAGAUACCCUGGUAGUCCACGCUGUAAACGAUGCAUACUAGNUNNUGUUGGUCCCCUUUAGGGCCAGUGAUGCAGUUAACGCAGUAAGUAUGCCACCUGGGGAGUACGUUCGCAAGAAUGAAACUCAAAGGAAUUGACGGGGGCCCGCACAAGCGGUGGAGCAUGUGGCUUAAUUCGAUGCAACGCGAGGAACCUUACCUGGGCUAAAUCUACAGUGUUACCCUCCCGNANAGA